UACGUAGGUGGCGAGCGUUGUCCGGAUUUAUUGGGUUUAAAGGGUGCGUAGGCGGCUUUGUAAGUCAGUGGUGAAAUACUCCAGCUUAACUGGAGGGGUGCCAUUGAUACUGCGGAGCUUGAGUACAGAUGAGGUAGGCGGAAUUGACGGUGUAGCGGUGAGAUGCAUAGAUAUCGUCAAGAACACCGAUAGCGAAGGCAGCUUACUGGGCUGUAACUGACGCUGAUGCACGAAAGUGUGGGGAUCAAACAGG
This 253-nucleotide ribosomal RNA is filed under the name uncultured bacterium. RNAcentral's name for it is "partial 16S ribosomal RNA". It matches the Rfam family "Bacterial small subunit ribosomal RNA", at positions 524 to 776 of the family's 1533-position model. The record is from RNAcentral.